This 5755-nucleotide long non-coding RNA is filed under the name Sus scrofa (pig). RNAcentral's name for it is "lncRNA (ENSSSCG00000053006.1)". Lineage: Eukaryota; Metazoa; Chordata; Mammalia; Artiodactyla; Suidae. The record is from RNAcentral.
ACACACACACAAUCCAAGAGCGAAGAGUAAAGACAAUCAUUUUAAUGGCUCUUUAGGGCAACUGUUUUCACCCUGGCUCCUCUGAGCCCUUGGAUUCCACAGGGAGGCCUCCUCGGGGCACCUUGGGAGAUGAGAUGGAGAUAAGACCACUAGGGCCUGGAUGCCUGGGAGCUACGGGGCUUUGAUCCACUUGUUCUCUGGUUUCCUUUAAGAUUUUUCAAACAAAUACAUAAAUAAACCCCUGACGCAAAGAAGUCUUCAGUGACCAGUCAUUUGUGUGUCAUCAAAAGGUGCGCGCGCACGCACACACACACACACACACACACACACACACACACACCCCUGUAAGUAUAAUACUACUGACAGAUCUGUUCUUUUUUUUUUUUUUUUUUUGUCUUUUUGCCUUUUCUAGGGCUACUUCCACGGCAUAUGGAGAUUCCCAGGCUAGGGGUCUAAUUGGAGCUAUAGCCACUGGUCUUCGCCAGAGCCACAGCAAUGCCGGAUCCUAGCCGUGUCUCCAAUCUACAUCACAGCUCACAGGCAACGCAGGAGCCUUAACCCACUGAGCAAGGCGGGAUCGAACCCGCAACCUCAUGGUUCCUAGUCGGAUUCGUUAACUACUGCGCCAAGACGGGAACUCCCUAGAUCUGUUCUUUUUUAAAAACUUUUUUUAUUAUAGUUGAUUUACAAUGUUCUGUCAGUUACGGCUGUACAGCAAAGUAACCCAGUUAUACAUAUAUACAGAUUCUUUUCCUCAUAAUAUUUCCCAUCAUGUUCCAUCACAAGUGACUGGAUAUAGUUCUCUGUACUAUACAGCAGGACCUCAGUGCUUGCACACUCCAAAUGCAAUAGUUUGCAUCUACUAACCCAAACUCCCACUCCCUCCCCCUCUGCCUUGGCCACCACACAUCUGACAGAUCCAUUCUACUUGUUUUUCAAGAACUUGCUGAAUGCCUCCGUGUACUUUGCACCUACUAGUCAGCAUCAUAUAAGGGGUGAAGCCAGUUUGGUUAAAUUCGGCCUUGAACUCCAGGAUAAUGAAACAGAUGUGAUGGUGACAGUGAUGAUGAUGACGAUGGCACCACUGAGCCCUUCCCAUGUGCCCAGCACUAUACAUCACCUAAUUACUUAAUGUAAUUUUUGCCAUAGUCUUACAAGAUACUAUUAAACUGAGGCUGACGAAGGUUUAAGAGAAUGGCCCAUGGUCAUGCAGCUAGAAAAAGGCAGAAGCUAACCUCAAAGAGCUCAUUGAGAAUCACAAGGAUGAAUUGGCAAGGUUUUAUAACAGACAAGGUACCAGAAACAUACAUUUGUUCUUUAAAUGUUAUUUUACCCAUGUAGGCAUGUUCUGAAUUUUUUCCCUUCAAACUUGCUCAAACUUAGAGGUUAAAUAACCAUCCUCGCCUAACCAGGGAGGGACCACCCACCAUAUUUCUCCUUGCCUUGUCUUACAUUCCUGCUCAAGCCCGAGACAGCAAAUUCAAACAAGAACAUGGAGACAAGACCAAAGUCUACUUUUAGAGAAAAGAAGAACUACCAGACUCAAACACUGUAUAUUUUUCAAAACAUGCUGACUAUUAACUUCAUCUCAUAGCUAGUGACACACACCCUGUAACAUGGUUAGUCCAGAACCCAAGCUCAGAAAUCACAUUAUUUGUUAACAGGAUUUGGGUACUUGCCAUUGUCACACUGCAAUAAAAAAAAAGAAGAAGCAGCAUCUCUAAAUUGCUCCUGGAAGAGGGGGUUUCCUCACAAAAUUGCCCGGUUGCACCAUAAGUUAUCAUUACUCUUACAAUCACGAGGAAGGAAAUCAGGCAUACUUUGCAGAAGUCAGCGAAAUUAACUGGGCCCUAAGCAACUUCUUAUUUGUUGGUGUCAGAAACACAUUAUCCACAGAGGCAGGAGGAGAAAGUUAAGACUACAGGACACCGCCAAGAUGUUCCUUUGCUGGAGCACUUCAGUACACUGUCAAUCCCACCAGGAGGCUUUCAGAACAUUUGUCUUCCUCCUAUGAAUCACGUUGUAUUGCAUUCAAACCAAACCAAAGUGCAUGAUUAGCAUAAAACAAUAUUAGCAUAAAUAGAAAGAGAAUCAGGAUUUUGAGGGGAGGGAAAAAAUAGCUCAUAUAAGUGGCCUACUCAUUUCAGUUGACUUCCCUGAAGCUGAUAAACUGUGAAAUUUCCAUAACAAUACAAGAAUACAGAAAACAAACAGCUAUUUUAUUUGAUAGGGAAAUUGCAUCCUGUUACUGGAUAUAAAAUUCUACAGCAUGUUCAAUGGUGUUUUCAAAGCACUGAAAAUGUAGACAUAUGUUUUCAUUUUUAAAUCCAGCUGUAAUGUAAAUAAUAAAUCCACCAUAAUUUGGCUGGUCCAGAGACUGCUGGCAUCAUGAACUCAGAAACCCAGAGACAUAAAUGUUCUACUUCUCUUGCUAGGCACUCAGCCAGAAGUCCCUCUAACUCUGAGGAUGCUAAAACAUGCCCUCUGCUCCAUCUACAUCUCUGCCUUGUUCAACAGUCUUCUGGAGCUCCCUGUUGCUAUUUGCACCACAGAUGCUCUCUGACACCCUCCUUUCUCCCUUGCCUGUAUCCUUUUUUAUUUCUUCCUAAAUAAAGGAUUUUUAUAUUCUCUCCUAACUCAUUCAACAAUAAAUCAAUCCCAUCUUCCCUCAGCUCCUCAAUGUGGUCCAUUCUGGUAGACUGAUGGAGAGAGGGCUGCACCCUUCCAUUCCCUGUAGGCUUGCCUCUUGAAAUGUGAUGUGGCAGCCCCUCUUAUCAUCAUCAUCACUGUCCAGUGGCAAGCAGUGCAGGUAUCAGAAGACAAGACCAAGACUGACCCUUAGGAAGCCUCGUGUGUUUCCACUUUCUCUUGAAAUUCUGCCAUCCAUGUGGGAAUAAGCCAGUAGCCUUCAAGCGGAUGAGAGACCACAAGGAGGACAGUCAGUCUCCAAAAGACCCUUCUGGUCAACCCAGGGGGUGCAGCAGACACAUGAGUAAGAGUAAACCAAAGCUGAGGCCAGCCCAAAUUGCCAACCUGCAGAAUCAUAUGCUAAAUGUAAGCUUCUAUGUUUUGGGGUGUUUUGUUACACAGCAAGGGUAAACGGAUACAUCUUGUUCUCUUCUUACAUCUCUGCACUACUCACACCUGAUGGUACACUUCACUCUUCCAGAAAUUCCACUAAAGAGAAAUUACUUUAAAAAACUGUUUCAAAAUUCUCCAUAGAUUAUCUGAUAUUCAUUAAGCUUCCCAAUUUUAAAAGCUAAAAAAUAUUUACUCUUGUACAAAUGUAAUUUAUUAAUUUCAGCCCUGACAAAUACCUGCAGAAUUUGAAUCACAGCUACUGUGAGACAGGGGUUCUCAGGCAGUGUUUAUAUCAUUAUAAACAACAAUUAUCCAAACUACAAUAUGCAUAACCACUUGCUUCCCACUCCAAAAGUUUAUCUUCCAACAUGUGAUUUAAUUGGUUUGUGACUCUAAAUUAAAUGUGUAUAUUACAUUCACACCUUUAUCAUUGAAAAAUCCCACUGCUGCACACAUAGGAAGAAUUGAAUCCUUUUGGCUUACAUUGAACUCAACUUGAAUAUUGUUAUAAUUAUUUAUAGAAUAUAUAUUGAAAGACUACAUCAACAUCUUAUGAACUUUGCAUACAUUAUCUGUACUUAUUUUCAGUUUCAGGGGCAAUCAAAACAAGAUUGAAAAAAUAAUUUAGUUUGAUGUAAAACAUAUUGUUAGAGGAGUUCCUGUCGUGGCACAGUGGUUAACAAAUCCGACUAAGAACCAUGUGGUUGCGGGUUUGAUCCCUGGCCUUACUCAGUGGGUUAAGGAUCCGGCGUUGCCAUGAGCUGUGGUUUAGGUCGCAGUCUCAGCUCAGAUCUGGCGUUGCUGUGACUGUGGCGUAGGCCAGCGGCUAUAGCUCCGAUUCAACCUUUAGCCUGGGAAUCUCCAUGUGCUGUGGGUGAGGCCCUAAAAAACAAAACAAAACAAAAAGAAAGAAAGAAAAGAAAAAAAGAGAAAGAACAGUUGGGGGUGGAUUUAAUACUAACAACAACUUAAAUUAAGAUAGAGGUUUCUUUCUUUCCCAAGUAAAAAUGCAGGUGUAGGCUAACGAGGUCUGUAAAAUGGCUUGCUCCCUGAAGUCCUUAGGAACCCAGGCUCCUUUCAGCUUGUAGCUCUGCCAUUUGAGCCCUGGCCUCAUGGUGCAAGAUGGUAGUUAGAGUUCCAGCUAUCACACCCACAUUUCAAGCAGCAGAAGGAAGAAAGAAAAAAAGGCAAAGGGUUCAUGCCAGCUAUCUUUUAAGAAAAAUUACCUGGAGGAGCUGCCAAGAUUAAAUCCCAUUGGCCAGAAUUUAGUCCCAUGGCCAUAUUGAGUCACAAAGACAUCUGACCAUGUCCUUUUAAAAAAUUGGUUAUGUGCCCAGCUAUAAUAAGGAGUUUAAGAGGGAAGAACAAAUAUCAGAGUAGGUAACUAGUGACUUCUCCAGAAUAUGUUUUAUGUUGGGGACAUGGUCUGUAAAUUUUCCCAGACUAUAAAACUGACCAUAAUAUGCCAGUUUUCCAUUUUUGUUCUUGUUUUACAUAAUAACCUUCUCAUGGACAAGCUCUAUCUAUAAAUUCCCUCUGCAUAGAAUGGUAGAAAGAGAUUCUUCCCUAAUUAGGAAUCUCUUCUGUUGAACAUGAAAAAGCACCCUGCCAAAAUUGGCUUAAGCCAUAAGGGGGUUUAUGGGCUCACUUCAGUAAAAAGUCCAUAAUGAGGAGUUCCCACUGUGGAGCAGUGGCUUAAGGAUCAGUUAUACAUACAUGCAUACUCAUUCUUUUUCAGAUUCUUUUCCCAUAUAGGUUAUCACAGAAUACUGAGUAGAUUUCCCUGUGCUACACAGCAGGUCCCUGUCGACCAUCCAUUCCACGUACAAUAAUUUGCAUGUGUCAAUCCCAAACUCCCAGUCCACCCCCGCCACCCAAGAUCCAUUUUUGCCCACCUCUCAGCUGGGUUCUGCAUUCUUCCAUGCACUGGCCUAAUUCGUGGUCUACAUGUGGUAGCAAGGUGGCAACAGUAGCACAAGUCCACGUGUUUUCAGGUUCAAGUCCCAUGGGAAAGAAAAGUCUCACUGUGCAUGGCUCGGAUUGAGUCACACAGCCAAUGGGUGAAUCAAUCUCUGUAACCAAAAAGAAAGCAGUGCUACUCUCUUUAGGCCAAUCAACCCUUGAUGCUAGCUUUGGAUUUGAUACCUUUAGAAAAAACAACAUGUGGCCUGAAAGUGGGUGGUUUCCCAAAGAGAAUUUGGGAUAUCAUUUUACACAAAAUGAUAUUUUACAUCAGAAAUGCUAAGUGGACAUUGGCCAAACAAUGAAUCUGUUAUGGAAAUAUUUCACACAUAACACAAAAACUCAACUGGUGUUUUCCAUGACUCAAGAUAUAACCACUUCCCAAGGUAUUCAUAGGACCUUGAGGCUAAAGAAUAAAACCUACUUCAUAGGCUUGAUAUGAUAGUUUAAUGAUAUAACACAUUUUAGAAAAUAUACAGUGUAGGAGCUCCCGUUGUGGUGCAGUGGAAACAAAUCUGACUAGGAACCAUGAGGUUGCGGGUUCAAUCCCUGGCCUCGCUCAGUGGGUUAAGGAUCCGGCAUUGCCAUGAGCUGUGGUGUAGGUUGCAGAUGCAGCUAGGAUCUGACAUUGCUGUGAUUGUGGUGUAGACCAGCGGCUACAGCUCCGAUUAGACCCCUAGCCUGGGAACCUCCAUAUGCCACGGGUGCGGAC